GACGAACGCUGGCGGCGUGCCUAAUACAUGCAAGUAGAACGCUGAAGGCGGAGCUUGCUUCUCUGGAUGAGUUGCGAACGGGUGAGUAACGCGUAGGUAACCUGCCUGGUAGCGGGGGAUAACUAUUGGAAACGAUAGCUAAUACCGCAUAAUAGUAGAUGUUGCAUGACAUUUGCUUAAAAGGUUCAAUUGCAUCACUACCAGUUGGACCUUCGGUGUAUUAGCUAGUUGGUGUGGUAACGGCUCACCAAGGCGACGAUACAUAGCCGACCUGAGAGGGUGAUCGGCCAGACUGGGACGGAGACACGGCCCAGACGGCUACGGGAGGCAGCAGGAGGGAAACUUCAGCAAUGGACGGAAGUCUGAGCGAGAAACGCCGCGUGAGUGAAGAAGGUUUUCGGAUCGGAAAGCACUGUUGUAAGAGAAGAACGAGUGUGAGAGUGGAAAGUUCACACAGUGACGGUAUCUUACCAGAAAGGGACGGCUAACUACGUG
This 495-nucleotide ribosomal RNA is filed under the name uncultured bacterium. RNAcentral describes it as "partial 16S ribosomal RNA". It matches the Rfam family "Bacterial small subunit ribosomal RNA", at positions 28 to 507 of the family's 1533-position model. The record is from RNAcentral.